This is a long non-coding RNA of Suricata suricatta (meerkat), 644 nucleotides long. RefSeq lists it as uncharacterized. The transcript is spliced from 2 exons. Lineage: Eukaryota; Metazoa; Chordata; Mammalia; Carnivora; Herpestidae. The record is from RefSeq and is a predicted model, not a curated record.
AAGGCCCUGUGCUCCCAGGGCUGUGCUGCCUGGCUGCUACUCUCAGACCCCGGCCCAACAGUAUCCAGUCACCCAGCAAGAACCAGGGCCAGACUGCAGGCCAGCCACCGUCGCUCUCUAAUUCCUCACUCCUGGGUAACACUGUGGAGGCCUGUGUGCCAGUGAGUGGUUCCUAAGAGGACAAGGGCACCCCGAGGUCCCUGUGGAGGUCCCCAGGAGCGGCUGCAACAACCCUUGCCUCCUGUAUGCCCCUAUGUUAUGUGACUUUGCAGCUCUUCCCACCAAGAGCUGGGGUCUGUCCUCCCUCCCCGUGAACUAGGCAGACCUGGGACUUGCCUUGAUCCCUGGCAUAGGCCUCAAGAGACCUGGCGGUUUCCAUUUUGGCAUCUCGGGAGUGCUAGGCCACCAUAAAAAAGUCCAGCUAGGCUGCUGGAGAGACUACGUGGAAAUAACGAAGCAGGCUGGGUUCCCACCUUCCAGCCUCCCCAGCUGAGAAAGACAUGGCCGGACGCCACCUCGGAUCUUUCGGCCCCAGGCAAGUCUCCCUAAUCAAGACCACACAGAACAGACAUGAUCUGUCCUUACCAAGCCCUGCCCGGGUUGCAAAUUGGAGCAAAUAAAUGGCUGUCGUUUUGAACCACUAA